This is a long non-coding RNA of Pistacia vera, 414 nucleotides long. RefSeq lists it as uncharacterized. The transcript has 5 exons. The record is from RefSeq and is a predicted model, not a curated record. Lineage: Eukaryota; Viridiplantae; Streptophyta; Magnoliopsida; Sapindales; Anacardiaceae.
UGUUGAAAUCUGGGCUUGCUAAAUUUCCAAUGAUAGAGCAUUACAAAAGUUGCUGUCGAGAAGCAAACACUGAAAAAUAUUGCAGACCACGAUGUAGAUGGAAUCUGUAAACCAACUGGACUCGGUCAGAAUUACAGAACCAUAUUCAUUCUAGAAGGUCCUCCCGAAGCUUUUAGGUUCAAAGUCAAAUCAGGCAAAGAUAGGCAUCAUUAAUGACAUUAGUGGCAUUGCUAACGUUGGAAGGAUGACCCUUCUGCUUGGCUCUCUCAGGAAAUCUUUAAAAGGUGACAGGGAAGUUUUGAUUGAAUGGAUAAGAAGGUACUUUACUAUAGACAAGUGUACUGAGAAGUUAAUUGGACUCAAAGCUGAGUUGCAACUCUGCAGUUUACUAAGCUUUUUCUUCAUGAGCUGAGC